Molecule: long non-coding RNA, 4168 nt
Filed under: Sus scrofa (pig)
Lineage: Eukaryota; Metazoa; Chordata; Mammalia; Artiodactyla; Suidae
Description: lncRNA (ENSSSCG00000053676.1)
Source: RNAcentral
AAGCACUUUGCUAACUAUUGGGAUUCGAAAGAGUGAUGAAAAGUAAAAUCGCACUAAGUGAACCCGAGGGACCGUAUGCUGCAUUCGCUUUGGUCUUACAUUCUCGGAUUUAUAGGAAGGGACUUUGAUAAUUCUAACGAGCACUUCCACCUUCUUAUCUUUUUAAAACUCUGCUCUCAGGGCGUGUAACCGAAUCUGUGUUUUGAGACAUCUUCUCUUGAGAGAAAACACAGAUUCUCCCCCAAUCCUCCAAAACCCUUCUCUUAGUGUUUGGUCACUGCUGUUAAGUAAAAUGUACUACAGUCUAAAAACUGGGCAGAAGUUAAAAACCCUUGUGGUCCCCACCAGCCAGGGGGUUCCUCUGUUUGUUAUUUCCUGGCUGCUAGGCACGUUCCUGUGACAUACAACAAACCCCCAUUAUAAAGGAUUAUAUGAUGAGUCAAUGAGCUUGUGAAAGAUAGCAACCAAAUGGUGACUCCAAAUUACAUGAAAAAUUACUAUAAUCACCCCUGCUGUAACACCCGACUGUUGGCAAAGUGGUUGAUCUCCUUGAAAAGCUUUAAAAGAAGGCCCAGUGUAUUAAAUAAAAAUCUCAGUUCUGUGUGUAAUCAUAAAAAUUAACGCUGUCACUUAAAAAAAAUCUAAUUGAUGUCCUAAAGGGAAACCUACGAGGCUAAGUAAAGUAGCUAUUAUGAAAACGUUUGCCUUUUGAAUGUAUUUCAGACGGUGUUUGCAUUGCCAGAUUUGUCAGCCAAAAAUUCACUAAGCAGAUUUGUCAGGGGCUGAGGCCAUAAUCUGUAAAACAGACAUUGGCAUAGAGAUUAAAGAUCAAGCGAAUUAUAUAGGUUUUGUUACCAUAUGCCAAAAUUACUUUCUAAAAGUAAGUUUGUUUUGUGUGGGCUGUAACCAGAAGCAAGCCCUAUCUUUGCUUGGUAUUUAAAACAGGAGCCUUUCCAGCUGAAAGCAACAAAACAGCUUCAUUCAUAGGCCUGAGCUCUGGAGGGUGGGGUGGGGGGGCAAGAUGUUUCUGACAUUCCUUCCCUCCUUUCUUCCUCUCUAGUGUUGUGUCUCCUGUUUGAGUCCUGAAUGAAACACCCAGAGCAGAAGAGCUGUUGAGUCCAAAGUCACCCUCUUCCCAGGAGGGGACCAUAGGACCUGGCCAGACGCCUUCACUGUUCAGGGAAUGUUUCCUCAAAAUGCAGGGUACAAACUUGGCAAUCUGGUUUCUCUUUUCUUGCCACCUUCACAUUUACAAAGCUCCUGCCAUGUCAUUUUAUACUUAGAAACAUCAGUGACCAAAAAUGGCUGGAUGCAAGACUCCUAAGUUCCUAUUCCAGCCUUGCAGCAACCUUGCCAGUGGCUCUUAGUUAAGUCCCAGAGUCACUUAGAACUCCUCAAUUCAUUAAAAAGGGCACGAGUCAGAUGGGCUCUCAAGAUCCUUGCCCUUUAAAAUUUUGUGAAUCUGUAAAGAAUCAGAUCUGUCAUAGUUUGCAAAUACAAAACCCUCCCAGAUACAGCAGGAAAAAGUACUCUUAUGUUGCUGUAAUAUACACUUGAAAGUUUAGGAUGGCAGUAUUCCCCCUAAACAGUUGGGGGGCAUCGUUACAUUAGAAAAACUAGGAAAAUAACAAAGUGUCUCUUGGAGUUCCAGUUAGUCACAGGUAAAGAUGCUUUCCCCAGAAUGGUGGAUACAGUCUUGGUAUUUACAACAGCCAGAGAUAGCAAUGCCAUUCUGGCACAUUUACACUUUUGAGAGGACUGUAUGUGAAACUGGUGGUAACACUUUAUAAUUUGAACAAUGGUUUGCAGAGAAAGCCUAGCCCACAGAUAACUCUGGGGCACAAAAAAUUAAUUUACCUAGAUGGAAAGGGCGUAACAUAGAAUUUGUGUGGGAACUUUCAAAGGCGCUUACACCAAAGCUUUUCCAAGACACUUUUAAAUUAUAUCUUCAUCACACAAAUGAAAUAUCGUUCAAAGAACCGCUGACUGAGAGAAGUGGCAAGCAGUCUUCCCAGUCUUUAUUCAGUAUUCACAUCCAGUCACAUUGGUAAACGUAAAUAUAUCACAGUGCUUAUUCAAACACUUACCAGUUAUCUAUAGAAAGACAAACUACCAUAUAUUCUCUGAAACAGAUUUUUCCUCCAUUUCUCUUUUUCAUUUUGCACCAAGUAUGUUAACUGUGAAGUUUGCCCCCCCCCCCCUUUUUUCGAAAGCAAAUGUUAGCUUUCUCCUGGCCCCACCCAUAAUUUUCCACAUUUUCUUGAGACAAACUCUGCCACAUUGAGAUGAAGUUCACAGCAAGCAGAAAUUCUAAGAAACAUCCAUAAGGGGUUUUGAGAUGGAUGCCUUGGUUCCAGAUGUGAAAGGAGAGCAGAUUUCCCUCCAGGGUCAAGUCUGGGGGUUUAGGAACCACGUUUGCCACCUCACUGGAUUUAGCAGAAAAGGAAGAUACCUGCCAAACACUUUCAUGCUCACAUAGACACUAGGGGGUGUCCAAGGACCAAAUGUUUCUCCUUUCCUUCAGCCUUGUCUCCUAUGCACUCCAAGGUCCUGCUAACUUAAAGCACAGGAACUGAGGGAAAAUCCAGCCAAUUAAUUCCUAUCUUGUGCUGAAAUGAAUAAUGUGAGGUCAGUUUCAUCAUCAGACCCCCAUGCCCUUGCAUCUCUGGCAUCAAUUGUGAUCUCGGGGUUCAGAGACAGGGAUUCUCCUAUAAGCCACAGGUGAUGGCGAGCCAGGUGCUAUGUUAUCAAAUGCUUUUUACUUCUGUGUUUGCCAGAAUUUCCGUGUAGUUGAAAGGAAGUCCCCGAUUGUUUCAUUAGUUUGUUUCUGCUUGGGUCUGUCCUCAUGAGCUGGAGGCUGGAGCAUGGUGAGAAGGCAGGCCUUCCUGUCUUUUCUUUCUUGAGAAAUCCGGCUUGCUUUUUAAUGUAGAUGAUUUGUUGAUUAUUAGCUGUUAGAAAACAUUUGCCCUUGUUGCUGUAGACAUCUUUAGGCCUUUGGGCCUGGGUCUCUUUAUGAAUACCUAUUACUUCUUAAUUAUGAGGGUUUAAUAAGAUAUGUCUUUCAUUUUCAUCUCCUCUCUCUCUUCUCCCGUGAUUCUUCUCCCUUUGCUAUUGGUCCCUUAGGGCAUGUUACUGGCUCCUGUUCUUUAUUGCUCCCGUCUUCCCUUAGCCCUUCCUGGUGAAUUAAAAAAAUAAAUAGAAUGCAUUUUAAGGAUGACAACAGUAAUAAUAAAGUCAGGAAUUGCUUUCCAGCUAAAUGCACUGAUUGGAAGUUCUAUCGAAAAUAGCAUAAACCUAAUUGAAGUAGUCACCCCCUCCCAUACAGGUCAUGCGAUGCUCUAUUAAAAGGAAGGUAAAACAAAGCUUGUGACAUUUCUGCAUUUCCCAGACUCACUUUUCCUAAAACAUAUCAAUAGUAUUGACAAUAGUAUUGCAUUGUGCUCCCCAGUGACCCGGCCUGUCAUCUUCUGGUCCUGGAUAAUUCUUUCUUAAUGAAACCUUAUCGUAUCCUUUACCUAUACCAAUCAACAGAAAAAUAAUUAUGUUUCUGCACGUAGGACUCAAAAACUUGAAAUAAAUCAAAAUGGCAGCGAUGAACUAGCCUAGGACACUGAUUAGGUAGAUGACUCGGAUACUCAAUACCCACCUAUUGUAGUUGUUAAAGAUGCUAAUACAUCCCCUCAAUUUAUGAAAAUAUACAAAUGGCUGAAGAGAUGUCUGAUGUGAAAUUAUCAGGAGAGCUGGGAUUAUAUACAAGGAUGUGUUAUUUGAUUUCAUUCUGAACAGUUUAAGUAGACUCCUCAAGGGUCAUUAGUUGGUCCUAAGCUUUAUUACUGAAGUCUCUUAUAUUAGAUGGAACUGACUAUCAGAUUUGAUGGCAAAGCACUAGCAGCUGGGAAACUGCUCUUUCUCUCCCCUCUCAUUUCCCAAACAAUGUUUGCACUGAUUAAUACUAUGCAACAAGACAUGACGCAGAGAUUGUGUUGGCAUUGUGCUCUGAUGACCCCACACAUUGUGUGCGCUCUGUGGUUCCUUUUGCUGUUCAUAGUUAUAUGGGUUUAUCAGAAAUUACAUGUCAGGCUCCCGAUGAGUGUAAUUGUAUCCUGAUUGUGUAUAGUUUUUUAAACCUCAUUAUUAGCCUUGUGUGCAAACCAAAUAAAAGGAAAGU